AUGUAACCUAAACAUUUUUUCUUCCCAUAAUAUGCUGAAAUAAAAAUAAAUAACUAAUUAACAAAAAACCCUACUGUCUUCAAAUUUCAGAUCACUAGUACAUUUUGAUUUUUUGCUAUUGAAUUAAAAUUCAAUUUCUUAUAUGAAACCAGAAAUCUCAUGAUAUUUUUAAACCUUACUUAAUGAUGGAAGAUCCAGAGGAAAUGCAGGGGAACAAGGAGUCAAGAGUGCUCUCCUCACACCAACCUUACACCCCUAGUGUAGUAGGGUGUGUCAUCUGCCCUUCCAUAUGACUAGCACAAAUCAACUUCAGAGUAUGUCUUUGGACUGAAAUUAUAGCUACCCAUAUCUCCCUUGCCCUGCCUGGCUCACAAAUCCAUAAUUACAAAUUAAUAAACAUUACCCCCCAACACAUGUUCCUCAUCUUCACCAAAUUCUUAUAAUUUUGCCUGUGCAGUAUUUACAAGGAUAGUGGUGUGUGUAUCUAGCAUUGACAGUGCAAUAAUAAAAAUUGUAGCCAUUUAUAUGGCACUUAUGAUAUGCUAUCCAUUGUUCUAAGUACUUUAUAGAUGUUAUCUCAUUUCAUCCUAACAACAGUCAUUUGUGGUAGAUGCUGUUGUUCUCUUUGUUUUACAGAUGAGAUAACUGAAGUAUACAGAUUAAGUGCUUGCCCAAGGAGCAGGAUGGGAUUGGAACCCAGGCAGUGAAGCUUCAGCAUCUGCGCCUUAACAACUAUCCUAUGUUGCUUCUCUAAACUGUGAUGGGAACUGUGUAACAGAUUCAAGUUUUCGCGUCAGUUUGUUCGACGAAGGAUCACAACGUAGACACUACCGCUUUCUCGCUUCCUCUUCUGUGGUUUCUUGCCUCGAACUUCCCGGACAGACAGGAGUGGAGAGGCAUCAUGACAAUACUGCAUAGAAGGGAAGCUGGGCUUCAGGCUGUGCCUCCUGAGAGUGGUUUGUCCGAGGCUCCAGCAGGAUGUCAGGCUAAACAAUCCAAAUAUUGUUGAGGAGAGAGAUAAGAAGGACUCAUGGAAACCAGGGAACUGUUAAGGAUAUUGGUGGUGAUCCUAACCUGAUAAACUAGGAGAGCUGGAAUUGUUAAUGCUGCCAUUUCCAGUCCCUUCACUAUGCUAAGUGCAUCAACAUGCCUAUAAUCUAUGAGGAUGCUUCCAACAGUUCAACGUGUGGUUAUAUGGAAGAAGAAAGAGAUUUGAACCUGUGGGCUCUAAAGACAGAGCAGGAUCCCAUGGAAGAAAGGGAGGCAGUCUUCAAAUAAAUAAAAGGAAGAAUUCUCUAACAAGGAGGGGCAGUGCAAAGACUGUGGGCUCUGAAGCUCGAUGAACUCAGGUUUGAAUCUUGACUUUGCUCUUAAUCCAUGUGUGCUCAUGGGAAAAUUACUUUCCCUCUCUGCGCCUUAGUUUCCUCUAGGAAAACAGAGAGGAUACUUUCUCAACAGGGCUCUUUGUAGAUUGGAGAUAUCAUCUGUACAGCUCCUAGUAUAAUGCCAAAUACACGGCAACUAUGGGUGGGGAUGCUGGGGAAGGGAACUGGUGUUGGACUCAAGACAUUUGCUAGAAUUGUAGACAAUUAGGGCAGAUUCUAAGUACUAAAAGAAUCCUACUCUGGCAGAACCACUGAUGCUUUGUCUGGAAGCAGCUUGGGAGGGAGGCCUGGCUGCUGCCCUCUUGUUCUUUCCUUUCGGAGGAACUGGACUUCACCCUGUUUUUCUCCUGCUUUUUCUAACUCCCUGACCAAGCUAUUUACCUCCCCAAGAUGCUCUGCUCCUGAGAGAGUGGUGAUAAUGCUGGGAGUCAGGUGUGUUUUCACCUCCCAGCCUGUCCCCAUCAUCGAUUCAGUCUCAAGUCAAACAGUCUCUGGAUUUAGCCUGUUUAAUUUGGCUGAAGGAAAAGGGCCAGCCCUCUGAUGAUCAAAUAUGGGUCACAGAGAGGCUUCUCCUCUACCACAGGCUACGCAAUUAUUUAUUUAAAAAUAAUUAACCAAGGAUAUCCGCAGGAAACAAAAGGCUUCUUUACACGGGAUCGUGGCAGGAGAGAGGCAAGAGACAUUUGUUAGAAUCCAGGCAGCAUAGCCCUAGGCUGCUGUAGUUUUCACACUGUUUUCUUCCCUAACAGAACUUCAUUAUGUAAGAAAUAUAACGGUGGUGGCCUACACCUAUGAACGUUACUUUAAAAGUCUCUGGCUAAGCGAGAGAGCCCUGACUGGCAAUUAGGGGAUCCCUGUUUUAAUCUCAGCUCUGAUAUCCAUUUAUUGGGCAAGCUCCAGCUUUCUCUUCUAAUAAGCAGGAGGACUGCCCGCUGCAGGGAGGGGGCUGUUGUCAUUGCAGUGUCAUGGGGGCUAGGCACAAGGCUGCUCAUCUCCUCCAGGUCCACCUGUAAUCUUUCCCACUGAUACUCCUCUCACCAGGAAUUUGGAAAUUUCUGGCCCCUGAGAGGGUUGCUGUAGUCAGCCAGCCAUCUUUUAUAGGGAUGUGUGUGUGUGUGUGUGUGGGGGGAGCAGAGUACAUCACAAGGUGUCUGCAGGCAAUACACCAAAAAUAGGAGCUCUUGUUAGAGGAAGGAGAGGCUAAGUCCUUGUAUAUUUCACAAACUCAGAAGAGCACUUGAAAUGAGAACAAAAAUGGAGUGCAAAGUGUGUAGGCUUGCCUACACAGGUGACCUGGGUUUAAAUCUUGACUCUACCAUGUAAUAGCUGUGUGACCUUGGGGAAGUUACUUAACCUCCCUGAGCUCCAGUUUCUUUAUUGAUUACAAUAUCCACCUGUUAGGUCAUUGGGAAGAAUGCUAAAUGAGUUAAUGGAUGUGAAAGUACCCAGACCAUGCUUACCAUAGUGUCUUGGCACACAAGGGUUACUCAAAACACACAGUUGCUCCUACUUUGGGACUUUGUCUUAAAGACAUUUUUAGGAAGGCUGAGAUUACAAAACUUUAUAGAGCACCUAUGAUGUACCAGGCACUUGCUAGGGAGUCUGCAUUAAGAAAUGGAUUGGCAUCUUCCCUUCUUCCUUCAUCAUUGCAAGCUCUGAAAAUGACUUAUAUAUAACAAGGGCUCUAGUUUAAUAUUGACUGGCCAAAGAUGGCAAGUUAUUAACCACAGAGGACCCACAGGAGAAAUGACAAUGGCAAAUGGUAACCAUUCACCUUCCACUGGUUUCUUAGCUCAAGCCACUAAUUGGCCCCGAUCCCCAUCAUUGGCCCUAUGAACCACAGCAAGUAUGUCUAGCAGUAAAAGAUAUCCCAGAUGGAGUCCAGGGACAUCCCUGAGGCCCUGGUUAGGAGGUCAUCUACUUUCUCUUGUUCCCAGGUCUCAGCAUCCUGGGCAUUGGGUUAUUUUCGAAUUCCCAACAGCCUAUGGGACAGACACAGCCUCUAUGCAAUGUGACUAGUCAGAAGUGUCAAAAACAUGGAAGAAGUGUAUGAUUCCAAGAAACCAGCAUAUCCUGUCCUGCCCUCCUGUGCCAGUGCCAUCUUCAGGGAGCUCUUCACACUGCUGCAGCCUGGCAUUUCUUUCUAAAACAAAGUCACACGACGUCACUUCCCUGCCUGGAUACUUCCGAUGGCUCCUCACUGCUUUCUGGAAGAGACUCAACACCCGAGACUGGCAGAAUCAGGCCUUCAUGACUCCAGUUUGCCUUGUUUGCAUCAUCUUUCACCAUGCUCCGUACAGCCCCACCAGAGUACCUGCCAUUUCUCAAAUGGCCGUCUCCUGCCUCUGUGCCUUUGCUCAUGCUGUUCCUACAGCUUGGAAAGUUCUUCUCUGUGCCACAUCCUUUAAGAGGACUAAAUGUCACCUCCUCUGAGAAGCUCUCCUUGAUUCAUCCUGGUAGGCAGCUGCUCCAUCUUUUGUGUUUUAUAUGCACUAGAGACUUAAAGCCAAAGUCAGGCACCCUCUACUCUGAUGAUAUGUUUACUUCUCUCCUUUUUAAAGGAAGAUGACAUUUUACAACCUCACAGUCUCGUGGAGUGCCCAGCACUGUGAAUAUUUAUUGACUGAAGGAAUAAAAUCUCAGCUGCUUUGAGUACCCAUGCCCCAGAACAAGGAGAAUCACUUUUAGCAGAGGAAAAUAAGGUCAGUUCUAUAGUAAUUAUUGAAUUGAAAUUGUGAAUCUAUUCCAAUUCUAUUGCUAUAUUAGGGAAUAAUUUGAGUGAAAUGUGAAUUUCACACUUAACAAAUACUAGGUGAACAGAAAUCUGCACCCAGCUGAAUGGAGCCACGUAGGAAUAUACUAAAUGCACCCAUGCAUGCACACACACAGCCUUCGAACAUUGCCAGCUACCUCAGUUCGCUGCAUGUGCGUAUAAGCUACAUCCAUGCACAUGUGGAGUCACGACUGUCCUGUUGAGUUCAGAUAAUCCCCCGUCCAUCACUUCACAAUAACUCACAAGGUACAACACUUCUGAUGCCCACUUCCUUAGGCAAACUUCAAGUUCAAGUGCCAUAUUUACUGUUGCACAGCAUUUAUGUAUUUCUUAGCCAUUUUACAGGUAUAGAACUCCGGUAAUGUUUUUAUUGGAUUCUUAUCUUUUUAAAAUGUGCCACUGAGGAAGUUUGUGAGUGUUAUAUCCUUAACCUUGGUUUUCCCACAAGUCCUGUGGUUUUUAUUGGUGAUUUUAGGAUGCGUAUGUUGGGUUAUACGGAACCAAUUGUGCAUGUGUGUUCAAAGACAGACACAACUGCCUCACAGGGGAACCCCAAAGAGCAGUUGCUCAGAGUGUUAUUAACCACAGAGUCUUUUCAUAAAUUUGUGCUUCAGGGGCUUAGGACUACAGCCCUAGAAACCUAAUCUAGGCUCUAAGAGCUUAAAAAACCAGCUGAGACCCCAAUUCCACAAUUCCAGAGAUUAACAGGCACCAACCUCUAGAUACUUUUUUUUUUAAUUUUAUUUUAUUUUAUUUUUUUUUACAUAUAUAAACACAAGUGUAUAGAUACUUUAACAAUCUCUCUCUCUCUCUCUCUUUCUCUCUCUCUCUCUCUCUCUCUGCCUUAAUUCUCCCAUGAUUCUGGGACAGUCAACUUUUGGGCCUUGCCAUUUUUGUCUGUAAAAUGGGCAUACAGAUCUCCCUUCAGCAGGCAGAAUGAUGAAUGGAUAAAAUAGUAUCAGAGAAGCACUGGGUUCUUCUGGGAGAGAAAAUGCUGGGUAAACAGAAGAGCAAAGUCAGCCACAAAAGCAUGACCAUAAUUGCUCUUUUAGUAAGAAGAGAGGAAGGAAAUGGAGACUCCUGGGCCAUGUGGGGCUCAGCUUGCUCCCCAUGUGGCCAUUGGCACUGAAGCCUGGGGGUUCCUUUCAUUGGUAUCCGUGAGCUGCACCCAGAGUCUGGUGGG
Non-coding RNA from Microcebus murinus (gray mouse lemur), 5341 nucleotides. The record is from RefSeq and is a predicted model, not a curated record. NCBI's taxonomy places the organism in Eukaryota, Metazoa, Chordata, Mammalia, Primates, Cheirogaleidae.